Molecule: long non-coding RNA, 222 nt
Filed under: Elaeis guineensis (African oil palm)
Lineage: Eukaryota; Viridiplantae; Streptophyta; Magnoliopsida; Arecales; Arecaceae
Description: long non-coding RNA (EGUI_LNC038805)
Source: RNAcentral
UAUUUCAGUUGCCACCAUUAAUGAAGAAAAUAUACUUAUGACUAAUGAUGUCUGUCAAGAGGGUAAGAUGCCUAUUCCAGCUCCAAUUGAAGCAAUAGAUAUAUUUGAUAGUGUUAAUAUCCUUAUAGAUUGUAGUAUACAUAUCAAAAAAUUGAUGGAGAUGAGUUAACACAGCUGUAACAACAAAUAGUAGAAUUAGAAUAAGAGUACGAUGAGGAAGAU